AACGAACGCUGGCGGCAUGCCUAACACAUGCAAGUCGAACGAGACCUUCGGGUCUAGUGGCGCACGGGUGCGUAACGCGUGGGAACCUGCCCUUAGGUUCGGAAUAACUCCCCGAAAGGGGUGCUAAUACCGGAUAAUGUCUUCGGACCAAAGAUUUAUCGCCUUUGGAUGGGCCCGCGUUGGAUUAGCUAGUUGGUAGGGUAAAAGCCUACCAAGGCGAUGAUCCAUAGCUGGUCUGAGAGGAUGAUCAGCCACACUGGGACUGAGAUACGGCCCAGACUCCUACGGGAAGCAGCAGUGGGGAAUAUUGGACAAUGGGCGAAAGCCUGAUCCAGCAAUGCCGCGUGAGUGAUGAAGGCCUUAGGGUUGUAAAGCUCUUUUACCCGGGAUGAUAAUGACAGUACCGGGAGAAUAAGCUCCGGCUAACUCCGUG
This 433-nucleotide ribosomal RNA is filed under the name uncultured bacterium. Its description in RNAcentral is "partial 16S ribosomal RNA". It matches the Rfam family "Bacterial small subunit ribosomal RNA", at positions 29 to 507 of the family's 1533-position model. The record is from RNAcentral.